GACGAACGCUGGCGGCGUGCCUAAUACAUGCAAGUAGAACGCUGAAGAGAGGAGCUUGCUCUUCUUGGAUGAGUUGCGAACGGGUGAGUAACGCGUAGGUAACCUGCCUGGUAGCGGGGGAUAACUAUUGGAAACGAUAGCUAAUACCGCAUAAAAUUGAUUAUUGCAUGAUAAUUAAUUGAAAGAUGCAAUUGCAUCACUACCAGAUGGACCUGCGUUGUAUUAGCUAGUUGGUGAGGUAACGGCUCACCAAGGCGACGAUACAUAGCCGACCUGAGAGGGUGAUCGGCCACACUGGGACUGAGACACGGCCCAGACUCCUACGGGAGGCAGCAGUAGGGAAUCUUCGGCAAUGGGGGGAACCCUGACCGAGCAACGCCGCGUGAGUGAAGAAGGGUUUCGGAUCGUAAAGCUCUGUUGUAAGAGAAGAACGGGUGUGAGAGUGGAAAGUUCACACUGUGACGGUAUCUUACCAGAAAGGGACGGCUAACUACGUG
RNAcentral lists this ribosomal RNA (497 nucleotides) under uncultured bacterium. Its description in RNAcentral is "partial 16S ribosomal RNA". It matches the Rfam family "Bacterial small subunit ribosomal RNA", at positions 28 to 507 of the family's 1533-position model. The record is from RNAcentral.